UGAUUAGUCUCUCUUACUCUUUAUGCAGCUCUUUGUGUCUGUCAUGUAUCAGCAAAGCCUAUUAUAAGACCAUUUCAGCCUUCAAUGGACAGACUUCCGGGAAAGCGUCUGAGCUCCGAUUCCUGCUGGUUCUGAGCAGCGGGUCCCAGAAUGCUGCUCCCGCCGCCCCCACUGGCCCCAACUGUCCUGCUCCUCACCACCAAGAGACUGAGUUUCUCUCUUGGCAAACCUCCACGUGCAAUCUCAGCAAGACGGAAUAAGGAGGCACUAAACCAGCGUUCUGGCAUCUCAACACCAGCAUCUGAAAAUUUCCUCAGGCAAAAGGAGAGAAACAUGAAACAGCUGGUCACUGUGAUGCGUACUGUAAGAACCAACCCCCAAAUGACAAGCCAUUCUGCCUCUGUACUUCCUGCUUGCUUAUCCCAUGUAAGCCCUAGACCCCCAGAGAUCAGGGUCUGAUAUUCUGGGAGUGAUACCAAUCAUUACCUAUCAACGUAAAUAAAUCUGCCUCCAAAUCCUGGGUAUCAUUUUGGUGUUUCUGUUUGCUGCUACAAUAAUAUUAUUGAAAAUUUAUGUAAAAAAUGCAGAUAUAAAUCAAAAUACAAUAAUCUCAGGUUCACUGUUACCAUUGUAAAAUAAAUAUGCCAUCAUCAUUGUAUUCUUCUAAUAUUUAUAAUUUUGUUUCUUUUUAGGGUUUUCAUAAGUCUCAGUUUCCUAAUUCUCUUGAUUUCCUUCUACUAAACUAAGACGUAACACUUUAUAUGUCACCUUACCAUAAAUAUCCAUAAGUGUAUGGAGACAGAUCAGAAAGUGGAUGUCCAGUAGUUAUUUGACUAAAGGAAAUCUGUUAAAAAUGGAAAGACUCAAAAAGCAUACUGAUAUUCUAUUAUUCAGCUAAUCAAAAUAAAUAUUUUUAUUUAAAGUUGAU
This 928-nucleotide long non-coding RNA is filed under the name Chinchilla lanigera (long-tailed chinchilla). Its description in RNAcentral is "lncRNA (ENSCLAG00000028044.1)". Lineage: Eukaryota; Metazoa; Chordata; Mammalia; Rodentia; Chinchillidae. The record is from RNAcentral.